GCAAGUCGAGCGAUCCCUUCGGGGAUAGCGGCGGACGGGUGAGCAACGCGUGGGAACAUACCCAGAGGUACGGAACAACAGUUAGAAAUGACUGCUAAUACCGUAUACGCCCUACGGGGGAAAGAAUUUCGCCUUUGGAUUGGCCCGCGUUGGAUUAGAUAGUUGGUGGGGUAAAGGCCUACCAAGGCGAUGAUGGUUAGCCGUUCUGAGAGGAAGAUC
RNAcentral lists this ribosomal RNA (219 nucleotides) under uncultured bacterium. Its description in RNAcentral is "partial 16S ribosomal RNA". It matches the Rfam family "Bacterial small subunit ribosomal RNA", at positions 57 to 305 of the family's 1533-position model. The record is from RNAcentral.